Bactrocera latifrons is the source of this 505-nucleotide long non-coding RNA. RefSeq lists it as uncharacterized. The record is from RefSeq and is a predicted model, not a curated record. Lineage: Eukaryota; Metazoa; Arthropoda; Insecta; Diptera; Tephritidae. The transcript is spliced from 3 exons.
CAGACAGGUGGAGAAUAUUCAGAGUACGCGAAGGGUGUUGAAAAUGAUGAUAUUCGCCGUUUGUUGGUUGACCCUCCACAUCUAUUUCAUAUUCACAUCAUCUGGCGCUGACACAGACUCCUUUCAUUCAGGAAGUCUAUUUAGGCAUCUAUUGGCUGGCCAUGGGUAACUCCAUCUACAAUCCGAUUAUCUACUGCUGGAUGAACUCAAGGAAUACUACAUGAUUCUAUAACAACUACGAAUUAAAAUUCGAAUGCACACUUUUACUGUUCUGAAUUCAUCAUUGUGUUAAUAGUCGCCAGCUUACAUCAUCACCGACCGGUUACGUAGAUAAUCAAGGUAUUGGGACACUGAGAGGUACUUUCGGAGAAGGAACAUUUCUAUUUUUAUUUCGGUGAUAUUAGAUAUAGCCGCAAUAUAUUCUUUAAAUAUUUUAUACAUUGARAUGUAAASAUAAUGUCAAAUAGUGGUAAGCUUUUACAGUUAAUAUUGUUCUAAAACUCUA